This 100-nucleotide small RNA is filed under the name Pan troglodytes (chimpanzee). RNAcentral's name for it is "processed transcript". The record is from RNAcentral. Lineage: Eukaryota; Metazoa; Chordata; Mammalia; Primates; Hominidae.
CUUGGAUCCAGAUGCCUGCUUCACAGAAGGACAUCUUCUUGACUCCUGAGGGCCUUGCCCCAUUAGCCUUUGCAGCAUAGCCCCAGCCCUGCCACCCUCU